Molecule: ribosomal RNA, 460 nt
Filed under: uncultured bacterium
Lineage: Bacteria
Description: partial 16S ribosomal RNA
Rfam family: Bacterial small subunit ribosomal RNA
Source: RNAcentral
CCUACGGGAGGCAGCAGUGAGGAAUAUUGGUCAAUGGACGCGAGUCUGAACCAGCCAAGUAGCGUGAAGGAUGACUGCCCUACGGGUUGUAAACUUCUUUUAUAUGGGAAUAAAAUGUUCCACGUGUGCCUUUUUGUAUGUACCAUAUGAAUAAGGAUCGGCUAACUCCGUGCCAGCAGCCGCGGUAAUACGGAGGAUCCGAGCGUUAUCCGGAUUUAUUGGGUUUAAAGGGAGCGUAGGUGGAUUGUUAAGUCAGUUGUGAAAGUUUGCGGCUCAACCGUAAAAUUGCAGUUGACACUGGCAGUCUUGAGUACAGUAGAGGUGGGCGGAAUUCGUGGUGUAGCGGUGAAAUGCUUAGAUAUCACGAAGAACUCCGAUUGCGAAGGCAGCUCACUAGACUGCAACUGACACUGAGGCUCGAAAGUGUGGGUAUCAAACAGGAUUAGAUACCCCAGUAGUC